CUGAACCCGGGGAGUCUUCACAUGUAGAUGGAUGGAUAGGUCUGAUUUUUCCAACUGAAGCACACUUGCAAGGGUCAGCACAAAGCCAGAAACCCAGUAGGUUCUGCCAGCCGCAGCAGCCUGUGCCCAGCAGGAGACCUGGUUUUGGGCCUGGGGUGACUUUUGUUUACACUGUUGUCUUACUUGGCUGGGAGCUCUCCCUGGGAGAGUGAAGAACUGAUGCAGAGAAAUGGCCGAGUGCGGGAGAAAUGGGUUUCCACCAAAGCGAUUUACCCAAUUUUCUUUUUCUGUAUAUCCUUAUACAUUUUAAAGGCAGAUUUAUUGCUAGUAAAAGUGCUGGCUGGACAAAGCGCUCUCAUGCUGUGCGUUUGCUUUUUCUUCUCUUGAAUGUUUUUAAACCUCUCUAGGUGUUUUGUCUUUUUGACAUAGACUGGCAGAGAAACCUAGGCAUCCUGGAUUCCCGGUUCACUGCUGUAGGGGCUUUGCCGGCUUGCUGGCUGCCCAGCCUGGCCAACUCCAGCCCUGCAGGGCCCACUCAGCGGGCGUACAGCACCAGAUGGAGAGAGGGAAGGCAGACCCAGCAAGAAUCCUCACGAAGAGGAGCUAGCAGCCCCGGGAAGAGAAAGAUCGUGCAGGACCAGUUGGACAAGAGCCCAGCUCUGAGUAACUCCCUGCAUUCAGGGAAAAUAAAAUCACAAAUGAGAACAGCAGGGGGCCAAGGACCAGCUGGAGACAAAGGGGUGUUGUUAGCUUCGGGGUGGGGGCUGUGAGACAAGCAAGGCUCUAGUGAGAUGUUCCAAAGUCUGGCCUGCCAUGGACAGCUGCCACCCGAGCUGCAGGCCUGGAAUGUUGUCACAAGCUCAGCGAGCCAUGCUGUCUGCCUCAGCCCAGGACCCGGAAAGACUGAUGAGACAAGAAAGGCCUUGGGCUUCCUCUUGCCUCCUGCAUCUUUAGCCUUCCCUGAACUGCCCUGGCAACUUAGCAGAUAAGAAGGAGGAGUAAAGGAGGAGUAAGGAGGGGAAAUGGUAUUAUUUCCUUCUGUGAGGAAGCAACUUACUGCGCACAGAAGUUCCCAGAAUGUUUACUCAUCCUGGUCCAAUUUCUCCAUGGUACGUGGCGCAGGAGGCUGGGUGUCAAGGCUAGUGACUCUGUCCAGCCCACUAAUGCCACAGUCAGGCACUCUGGCCUCGGGGAAAUCUAGGAGAUUACUCUGUAGCUAAUUAGGAAUUGCUCUUGAGGAUCAAUACGAUAGUUUUGAUUUCCUGUGACCAGAGCCAGAAAAUUAGCUCCUCUCUGAGAGUAUGGAUGGUCUGUGUGGCUGCUUUGCUAAUAGAAAGCUACAUUUUUCUUGACUAGAGUGUUUUUCAAAUCAGCAGCUUCUAGAUAUGGAGAAUCAUCAACUUGCGCCUGUCUUCCCUAAAACACAGUCACAGGCUCAACACUGUCAUGGGAGGAAGGAAACUAAUUGAACCAACAGAUGGGAAACUAAAGACACACGGCUUUUCAUUUCGUGGUUAAAAACUCCACCCCUGAUUUCUAAUGCCAAAAAUGGCAUCUUGGCUUUGGUAUCUCCCAGUGCCUGGGUCUUAUUUUUAUUGCAUUGUUUAUGUCUGUGCGUGUGCGUGAGUGUUUAUUUUUGAAAUCUCAGACACGUUUUACAGGAAGAGUACUGGUAUUUCAGAAGUCACUGAUGUUUUGGGUUAUCGUAUACUAGGGAUGUGGGUCAUUGCUGAACAACCUGACAUAAACAUCAUCAAGCUUGCAAACCUGUUUUCAAGUGUGAUAUUCUAAAGCAAUAUUUAUAGCAAAAUUAUGACCUCAAGGCAUCUAAAUGUGAUCCAUUUUUAAAUCUCAUUUUUUCCCUCUGAAUCCUUCAAUCUAAUUAGGCUCACAUCAGUAUAUUAUUACGGAGAGUAAUCAUUCCUUUCUUCUAAUAACAUUCAUGGAUAAUUUUAUUUCUCAUUUCCAGCCUCCUACUCCUGUGGUGUAAUUAGUGUCGUUGGCACCUCGUGAUGCUCAGAAUGAGUUGCAGCUGCUAAUUGCUAAUUGAAAAAUUAGAAACUCAGUUAGAAAAAGGAUCUAAUUAAAAUGAAAUUAGAUAAAAUCCCUUCAAACCAGCUCUCCUCUCUCUCACUUUUCUUUGUUUUUCUUUUCCCCUUCUGCCUUCUUUUUUUUUUUUUUUCCUGCAGAACGAUUAGCACUUGCAAAAUAUGUGUAAUUGCUGAAAGCAAAAUACCUUUCCUUAGUGGGCUAUACAACGGCCUUUAAGAGGCAGUUAGGGAGGGGUUUUUAAAAAUUGAAUUAAACUUCAGAACGUGUGCUUUCUUUCUACUCCUGAUCUAUCCAAAAGUAUGAAUUUGACCUUAUCAAUAAGAUCUCUGGGCUGUCUCGGAAGGACAAAUGUAUGGUCAGCCCUGUGUGGUUUUUCUGUGUGUUUGGAAGAAUUGUUGCCAGCCUCACGAUUGUGAGGGGUAGGGAUCUACUCACUUUCUUGCUGCAAAUCUAUUCCCAUCCUCUUCUCUAUUGCAUCAUCUCACCUGACAAAUAAUUAUCUAGGAAAUGCUCAGCCCUCUAGGAGAUACAAGUAUAAACCAAGGCUGCUACUGUCUCCAAUGUACUUAAAACCUAUUGAGAUGUCUAGACAGAUAAGCAUAAGAACAGACUAAGAGAAUAUAUAAUCAAAUGCAAAAUAGCAGUUCAGAUAUAUGUGAUAUUUAGGUCAAGUCUUCAAAUGUUUUUGAGUCCCUCCUUAAUACAUACCAAGCACUGUAGUAGAAUCUGGUCAUAAAAAACACAUACUACAGGCCGGGUGCUGUGGCUCACGCCUGUAAUGCCAGUGCUUUGGGAGGCUUAGGUGGGCAGAUCACCUGAGGUCAGGAGUUCAAGACCAGCCUGGCCAACGUGGCAAAACCCUGUCUCUACUAAAAAAUACAAAAAUUGGCCGAGACGGGCGGAUCACGAUGUCAGGAGAUCGAGAUCAUCCUAGCUAACCCGGUGAAACCCCGUCUCCACUAAAAAAUACAAAAAACUAGCCGGGCGAGGUGGCGGGCGCCUGUAGUCCCAGCUACUCGGGAGGCUGAGGCAGGAGAAUGGCGUAAACCCGGGAGGCGGAGCUUGCAGUGAGCUGAGAUCCGGCCACUGCACUCCAGCCUGGGCGACAGAGCGAGACUCCGUCUCAAAAAAAAAAAAAAAAAAAAUUAGCCAGGUGGGGUAGUGGGUGCCUGUAAUCCCAGCUACUCAGGAGGCUGAGGCAGGGAGAAUUGCUUGAACCCGGGCGGCGGAGGUUGCAGUGAACUGAGAUCACACCACUACACUCCAACCUGGGCAACAUCUCAAACAAAACAAAACAAAACCAAAAAAACAUACUACAUUGCUCCUACUCUCCAGGAGUGUAUAUCUGGAUAUAUGUGAAUAAGUAAUUUAUAACAUUAUAUGAUGAAGGCAAUGAUAGCAAAUGCAGAAGCUGCCAAAUUAAUGCAGAAAUAUGGGUAAUGAGUUUUGGUAGGCCAGAGGGAGAGGACUUUAAGGGACGGUUUAUGUAGAGGAAGUUACAC
This 3554-nucleotide long non-coding RNA is filed under the name Papio anubis (olive baboon). Its description in RNAcentral is "lncRNA (ENSPANG00000043735.1)". Lineage: Eukaryota; Metazoa; Chordata; Mammalia; Primates; Cercopithecidae. The record is from RNAcentral.